GAAAGCAGAAUGACACAUUGGAUCCAUUUAUAACAGUACAGGUCUUUGUUUUUAUCAAAGUAAUUUCAGUAGAGUGACAGGAGUGUGGGCCUAGUUUCAAUAAGUGGGUGGGGAAAGAGAGAUCCCCAUAGAGUUAGAGAACUUUGCAGCAGCGUGGAGAUUGGGAAGGCACAGAACAACUUACAGAAAACUACAGUGUAGAAAACUACAGCUGCCGUGGUUAUGAUCGGGAAAUGGAAGCUCAUGUGCAAACAAAAGAUGGGAAAUGAGAGUCAAAGACUGUCAUCUAGCAAGCCCUGGACAGCUGGGCUUUGCUGGGCACCAUGCUGUCCUCUGAACCAUGCUGCAUUGUGGUUUCCUGCGCCGUGGAACUAUUCAUGCUGGACUCAGUGAUUCUUUCUGUGUCGAUGUUGAAAUAAAGACAGAAUCCUCUCAGCCCUUCAACCUUCCUCAGAGAAGAUCAGAGCCUUGAGGCCACAGCUAAAUCAAGUGUCACUCAAGAAGACAAUGCUGUUCCCAACUGUUAGAGAUGGACUAUGCUUCACAGCUUUGUGACACCAGCACAAGACAGUCUAUCUUACAAUAGCGAUCAGCUCAAACUUUCACCUUAAAACUAAAAACUCUUAUAGUGGCCUGGAGCCCACUGCAUUAAAUUGAAAAGCAAGAAGAGCCAAGGAUGUUAAUCUCGGCAAUUUUCACAGAUAAAAUGGAUUGACAUGAAGCUGUGCCAAAUGUCUAUUCAAUGUGUGUUACAAAUUAGAAGGGAGCCUAUUGCCAUAAACUCACACUGAGUAGGUUGGAAUAAUGAAGAAAAACAAGGAAAGGAACAUUUGACUAGAAAUAAAUGUUCAAU
Molecule: long non-coding RNA, 853 nt
Organism: Mus musculus (house mouse)
Lineage: Eukaryota; Metazoa; Chordata; Mammalia; Rodentia; Muridae
Product: predicted gene, 34205
Exons: 3
Source: RefSeq, a predicted model, not a curated record